RNAcentral lists this long non-coding RNA (204 nucleotides) under Prunus persica (peach). RNAcentral's name for it is "long non-coding RNA (PPER_LNC001050)". Lineage: Eukaryota; Viridiplantae; Streptophyta; Magnoliopsida; Rosales; Rosaceae. The record is from RNAcentral.
UUUUGAACCUCUCGAGUUGUUCUAGCUGCCUGUUGGGUAGGAUUCAAUCGGUUCUUAACGUAGGUAAUUGAUUUUUCAAAUUGGAAAUUCGGACGGUUUUCGGCCUCCGAGUUCGGCCACUUCCGGUCAGUUUUUGGGGUAGGUCCAAGAAGAAAAGUGACUCCAAAUAUGGUGUUAUACCUACGGUAGGAGUUUGGAGCCGUG